AAUGCAUAGAUUUGCUUGAUAUAAAUACACCAUAAGUCUAAGACAAAACAUACAUCCUAGCUCCAAGCAGUUCAGAAAAUAAAAGCGAACAAUCAAGCAUGGCUAGUAGCAAAGUUGGUGUCCUCACUCUCUUUUUUCUAUGUGUUUUUGUAGUGGGAAGCAAUUAUGUGGAAGCUCAGA
Solanum lycopersicum (tomato) is the source of this 180-nucleotide non-coding RNA. The record is from RefSeq and is a predicted model, not a curated record. NCBI's taxonomy places the organism in Eukaryota, Viridiplantae, Streptophyta, Magnoliopsida, Solanales, Solanaceae.